UAUCAUUAACUGAAUCCAUAGGUUAAUGAGGCGAACCGGGGGAACUGAAACAUCUAAGUACCCCGAGGAAAAGAAAUCAACCGAGAUUCCCCCAGUAGCGGCGAGCGAACGGGGAGGAGCCCAGAGCCUGAAUCAGCAUGUGUGUUAGUGGAAGCGUCUGGAAAGGCGCGCGAUACAGGGUGACAGCCCCGUACACAAAAGCGCAUGUGCUGUGAGCUCGAUGAGUAGGGCGGGACACGUGGUAUCCUGUCUGAAUAUGGGGGGACCAUCCUCCAAGGCUAAAUACUCCUGACUGACCGAUAGUGAACCAGUACCGUGAGGGAAAGGCGAAAAGAACCCCGGCGAGGGGAGUGAAAAAGAACCUGAAACCGUGUACGUACAAGCAGUGGGAGCCCCACCACUAAGCCAGUGGUGAACUCCACAUACGCAUCCUUUGCUGAGGAUACGGUUAACGGAGCGAAAGCGACGUUCAACCGCAAAAGAAGCAGAGGGGGCUUA
Molecule: ribosomal RNA, 498 nt
Filed under: Salmonella enterica subsp. enterica serovar Anatum
Lineage: Bacteria; Pseudomonadati; Pseudomonadota; Gammaproteobacteria; Enterobacterales; Enterobacteriaceae
Description: partial 23S ribosomal RNA
Rfam family: Bacterial large subunit ribosomal RNA
Source: RNAcentral